UACAGAGGUCUCAAGCGUUGUUCGGAUUCAUUGGGCGUAAAGGGUGCGUAGGUGGCGGGGCAAGUCUGGUGUGAAAUCCCGGGGCUCAACCCCGGAACUGCACUGGAUACUGCCUUGCUAGAGCACUGGAGAGGGAACUGGAAUUUACGGUGUAGCAGUGAAAUGCGUAGAUAUCGUAAGGAAGACCAGUGGCGAAGGCGAGUUCCUGGACAGUUGCUGACACUGAGGCACGAAGGCUAGGGGAGCAAAC
Molecule: ribosomal RNA, 250 nt
Filed under: uncultured bacterium
Lineage: Bacteria
Description: partial 16S ribosomal RNA
Rfam family: Bacterial small subunit ribosomal RNA
Source: RNAcentral